Molecule: long non-coding RNA, 3382 nt
Filed under: Zostera marina
Lineage: Eukaryota; Viridiplantae; Streptophyta; Magnoliopsida; Alismatales; Zosteraceae
Description: long non-coding RNA (ZMAR_LNC003163)
Source: RNAcentral
UUCACUAUCUGGAACCUCUUAAUAUUUAUUUCAAAUAUUUAUCACAUCAUAACAUCAAACGGACACACAGGAAAAUCAAUUACCUGUUAUUAUAUCAUAACUUCGAGUCUUUAACUGACACAAAUUACACAAAUUAUUAUUAUUUUUUUGAAAUUUUGCGUGAAGAAUACUGACACACAGGAUGUCAAAAUAUCCUGUUAUUCUUCCUCUUCUCAUCCUAUUGGAAUGAGUUAAUACAAUUUGCCAGCUUCUACAGAAUGAUAUUCAGGAAUAAGAAAUGUAUCCGGAUGUUUGUUUUUUCUUUAUCAAAAACCUGAACCAAAGAUGUAUUAGUGAAUUAGACUGGCAAGUGACAAUCAUUGAAUACAAAAUUAAAGAUAUAGAAGGUACGACAUAAAAGAUGUCUUCCCAUGGACGUGUAUCGAAUUACAUGCACAAGACAGAAAUAAGGAAAGGGAUCCAGAAAUAAUUCACCCUGAUAUGCUUUUGUUAGUUGUAUUGAAAGGAAAUAUAUACACUUCCUAAGAAACCAUUCUGGAUCUCUGGUGUCCCAUUACCUACCUCACUAUAGUUAAGAAUGGGUUGUUUCCAUACAUAUCCUACAUUUUCUUAAUCGUCACAUGUCUACUACAGAAAAACCCAAAGAUUUUUGGCUUCUUAAAUGUUCCUUCCAACAACACAGUUGGGUUCCUGUUUUAUCGAUACAUAAUGGUUAUAAAUGCCACACUUUAUCCGCAUCUCAAACAAACAUGUAAUCGGGUGGAUUCUGUUCUGGAUCUGCCUAAAUACCCUCGAUUACUUUAAUUAAAAAUUAAAAAUGAAGGAAUUCCAUCUGUUAUCUUUCAUUUUUGUUCAGCCUUGGAUUUAACCAGCCUCCACUGCUCUCCAAUUAGCCUUUCUCUGACAGGAGACCCUCCAAUGAGCUUUACUCUGAUCAUAGAUUAAAUGCUUAGUAUUUGAAUUUUUUCUUUUCUUAAGAGAGCUUUAUGAUGCCAACAUGUCAAGUACACCAAGGUACAAAUGGUUGUAUUUGGUACAUGAUCAAGAUAUUCCUUAUUUGUAAAUCCUACUGGUUGUUUCAUGUAGAGAUUGUUUCAUUUAGAUAUCUAUUGAGAAAAACAUUUCUCAUAUCUAAUUACCUUAAUUCUCAGUCAUGAAUGACAGCUAUUGAGAUUAUCAGUCUUACAUUACUCAUUCUAACCACAGGACUAUAGGUAGUAGUAUAAUCUACUCCCUCUUGGUCGUAUCCAUUAGAAACUAAUCUGGCGGGCUUUGUAUCUUUCGAUUGAUCCAUUGGCCCUUCUUUUGAUCUUAUAUACCCAUUUACAUCUCCUAUAUAUUCAUGUAUUUUUCAUUUGGUACUAGAAAGUAUUUUGCUCAAUCUGAAAAAGAUACUCAAUUGGGGACAAUUGAUUCUAAUGAAGGGGCACAUGAUGCAGAACAUAGUACUUAUUCUAUUCAGAGUCAGUCUGAAUUGCUAUUUGACAAUGCUUAUUUGGGUGAAGGACAGAGUGGGCCUCUAUCAAUUAAUGAAGAGGCCUAUACAUGAUCUGACUUUGCUCGCAGAAAAGAUUUUAAUCGGAAUAGAAAAAAACCCCCAAAUCAGACUCUAAUACCAUGUAAGAUUUAGAAUGUGAUGAAAGAAGGAGAAGAAGGAUGGUUUUAGAGGAAGGAUUCAAGCGCUUAUAUAGAGAAGAAGAAAGCAGAUUGAUUGUAACCGACGAUGAUCGGAAGUUAGAGGAAGAUUGGUUGAGAGGAAGCAACAAGAACUAACAAAGGAGAGAAAUGAGAAAUAGAAAAAAGAUCCUGUUCAUUAAAGAAUUAACUGAAAAGUAUUAUUAUAAAACUCAUUACCUUUAUACUAAUACAAGUUUUGGUGAUAAAUGAUAAUGAUAAAUUACCAAACUAUCAUUACUGGUACAUAUAUAAUAAGAUCCUUGAUGUUAUUAUUACUCCUUACAUAGGGUACACCAUAGUAUGGUGUUGGGAUUCCACUUUAGAUAGAGGGUACAUCAUAGAAUUGCAUCUUCUCGGUAUAAUUGUUUGUAUUAGUAGAGGGAACCCACACCCCCCCUCUUUAGGAACCAAAGAGGCAUAAGACAAAAUGAUCCCAUAUCUCCCAAAUUAUUUGACACGGUAAUGGAUGUUUUAAAUAGGCUAAUAGAGAGAGAAAAAGAUUGAUGAUGUGUUAAAGCUACCAGGUGAAUGAAGCUACCUCUAUCACUCAUCUAAUAUAUGUUGAUGAUGUGUUAAUCUUCACCAAGGCAAAUCAUAAAUCUCUGGUCUCCAUCCAAAGCACAUUAGAACCCUUCACCCAAUUCUCUGGAUUGGAGGUAAACUCCAGUAAAAAAGCUCAGCAACAUUCUCUAACGUCUGUGAGGAUGAUCAAUCUCUCCAUAACAUCUUAGGGUUCUCAUUAAAAAACUCACCAUCACCUACCUGGGGUUACCAAUCAUAAGUAAAAGGAAAUCCUAUAUCCAGUGCUGGAAAUUAAUUCAGCCAAUCGAAGCCUAUAAGUGAUACAGAUGUAAAUAAUGGGGGAGAGUUUGGUGCUGAUUGACUCAUCUUUGAAUUGUAGAGAUAAUUAUACUGUGGUAUGGAGAGUAGGGACCCAAUGUUAGGUGGAAUUUGUGAAAUGAUUAGGAAUAGAAGUCACAAAGAUCAACUUGCAAAUAGUAUAUGACUAUAUGGUCCCAUAUGCCAACCAAAUUCUCCAUAAUAACAUGGAGAAUUAAAUGGGGUCAUUUUAAAACUUUCAUGAGAUUAAGAGGAUGAGGUGAACCAAUUUAUUCUUUAAUCAAGAAGCCAUUUAUUCUUUAAAUGCUUAAGGUCCAUACUUAUCCCUCAAGUGAAAAUGCUCAACCAUUCUUCUGAAAAAUAAUGAAUAUCACUAUCCCCUCUUCUAACGAUCCUGACAUAAGACCGUGGGAUCUAACAGAGGCCUUUCAGAACAACACUCAUCACUCACCUACUUGGAGCCUGCUAUGGAAUGCUAUAGGAGUCAUAUCAUGGCACAUAUGGUCUGAGAGAAAUCGAAGAUUAAAACAACACACUGCGACCUCCAGAAGUUUUGCUUAGAGAAAUCAUCAAGGAUAUCAACCACCUAAGGCAGUUUAUCUGAUCGAUUGUCACUAGGUAGCAUAGCCAAUUGGAAAGUGUCAAUAGGACAACAAAAUCAUCUCCCUUUUUAUCUUUUUUGUUUCUCCAAACUUAAAAAACUAACAGAAUAAAGCAAAAAUAGAUAUGUACAGCUGUAAACUAACUGAUUAUCUACCAAUACAAACCUCUAACUUCUUGUACCAUUCAAUAUGAGACCAGUACCACCGCAUCAAGUUCUUGACAUUUAUAUCAAAUUUUAUGAUUGAAAGAAUAAUAGUCUUAC